RNAcentral lists this ribosomal RNA (496 nucleotides) under uncultured bacterium. Its description in RNAcentral is "partial 16S ribosomal RNA". It matches the Rfam family "Bacterial small subunit ribosomal RNA", at positions 28 to 507 of the family's 1533-position model. The record is from RNAcentral.
GAUGAACGCUGGCGGCGUGCCUAAUACAUGCAAGUCGAGCGAACAGACGAGGAGCUUGCUCCUCUGACGUUAGCGGCGGACGGGUGAGUAACACGUGGAUAACCUACCUAUAAGACUGGGAUAACUUCGGGAAACCGGAGCUAAUACCGGAUAAUAUAUUGAACCGCAUGGUUCAAUAGUGAAAGACGGUUUUGCUGUCACUAUAGAUGGAUCCGCGCCGCAUUAGCUAGUUGGUAAGGUAACGGCUUACCAAGGCGACGAUGCGUAGCCGACCUGAGAGGGUGAUCGGCCACACUGGAACUGAGACACGGUCCAGACUCCUACGGGAGGCAGCAGUAGGGAAUCUUCCGCAAUGGGCGAAAGCCUGACGGAGCAACGCCGCGUGAGUGAUGAAGGUCUUCGGAUCGUAAAACUCUGUUAUUAGGGAAGAACAAAUGUGUAAGUAACUAUGCACGUCUUGACGGUACCUAAUCAGAAAGCCACGGCUAACUACGUG